Molecule: RNA transcript, 604 nt
Organism: Carlito syrichta (Philippine tarsier)
Lineage: Eukaryota; Metazoa; Chordata; Mammalia; Primates; Tarsiidae
Gene name: protein S100-A10 pseudogene
Exons: 1
Source: RefSeq, a predicted model, not a curated record
CCCCCCGCUCGCCCUGUGUCCGCGCCGCGCCCCACCGCCAGGGCUUCAAUUGACCUCACCAAAAUGCCGUCUCAAAUGGAACAGGCCAUGGAAACCAUGAUGUUUACAUUCCACAAAUUUGCUGGGGAUAAAGGCUACUUAACAAAGGAAGACCCGAGAGUACUCAUGGAAAAGGAGUUCCCUGGGUUUUUGGAAAAUCAGAAAGACUCUCUGACUGUGGACAAAAUAAUGAAGGACCUGGACCAACGCCGAGAGGGCAAAGUGGGCUUCCAGAGCUUCUUUUUGCUCAUCGUUGGCCUCACCCCUGCGUGCAACAACUAUUUUGUAGUACACAUGAAACAGAAGGGAAAGAAAUAGACAGAACCAAGCAAUGUCUCUCACCCUGCUAAGAGUUAUCCCAAAGGGUCGCUGAAGGAAUCUGCCCAAAGCUUCCCCCGGUAUAAGGAUUCUGUGAGCCGAUCAGGACCCUUAGAAAAUGUACAAACAAAAUCCAACUCCCAUGUGACAAGCAGAGAAGAAAAGUUAAUUGAAGGCCAGAAAAGCUUUUGAUUUUUGUAUUGUUUGCAUCCUCUUGUCCUCAAUAAAUAAAGUCCUUCUUUAGUUC